GAUGAACGCUGGCGGCGCGCCUAAUACAUGCAAGUCGAGCGAACGGACGAGAAGCUUGCUUCUCUGAUGUUAGCGGCGGACGGGUGAGUAACACGUGGAUAACCUACCUAUAAGACUGGGAUAACUUCGGGAAACCGGAGCUAAUACCGGAUAAUAUUUUGAACCGCAUGGUUCAAAAGUGAAAGACGGUCUUGCUGUCACUUAUAGAUGGAUCCGCGCUGCAUUAGCUAGUUGGUAAGGUAACGGCUUACCAAGGCAACGAUGCAUAGCCGACCUGAGAGGGUGAUCGGCCACACUGGAACUGAGACACGGUCCAGACUCCUACGGGAGGCAGCAGUAGGGAAUCUUCCGCAAUGGGCGAAAGCCUGACGGAGCAACGCCGCGUGAGUGAUGAAGGUCUUCGGAUCGUAAAACUCUGUUAUUAGGGAAGAACAUAUGUGUAAGUAACUGUGCACAUCUUGACGGUACCUAAUCAGAAAGCCACGGCUAACUACGUGCCAGCAGCCGCGGUAAUACGUAGGUGGCAAGCGUUAUCCGGAAUUAUUGGGCGUAAAGCGCGCGUAGGCGGUUUUUUAGUCUGAUGUGAAAGCCCACGGCUCAACCGUGGAGGGUCAUUGGAAACUGGAAAACUUGAGUGCAGAAGAGGAAAGUGGAAUUCCAUGUGUAGCGGUGAAAUGCGCAGAGAUAUGGAGGAACACCAGUGGCGAAGGCGACUUUCUGGUCUGUAACUGACGCUGAUGUGCGAAAGCGUGGGGAUCAAACAGGAUUAGAUACCCUGGUAGUCCACGCCGUAAACGAUGAGUGCUAAGUGUUAGGGGGUUUCCGCCCCUUAGUGCUGCAGCUAACGCAUUAAGCACUCCGCCUGGGGAGUACGACCGCAAGGUUGAAACUCAAAGGAAUUGACGGGGACCCGCACAAGCGGUGGAGCAUGUGGUUUAAUUCGAAGCAACGCGAAGAACCUUACCAAAUCUUGACAUCCUUUGACAACUCUAGAGAUAGAGCUUUCCCCUUCGGGGGACAAAGUGACAGGUGGUGCAUGGUUGUCGUCAGCUCGUGUCGUGAGAUGUUGGGUUAAGUCCCGCAACGAGCGCAACCCUUAAGCUUAGUUGCCAUCAUUAAGUUGGGCACUCUAAGUUGACUGCCGGUGACAAACCGGAGGAAGGUGGGGAUGACGUCAAAUCAUCAUGCCCCUUAUGAUUUGGGCUACACACGUGCUACAAUGGACAAUACAAAGGGCAGCGAAACCGCGAGGUCAAGCAAAUCCCAUAAAGUUGUUCUCAGUUCGGAUUGUAGUCUGCAACUCGACUACAUGAAGCUGGAAUCGCUAGUAAUCGUAGAUCAGCAUGCUACGGUGAAUACGUUCCCGGGUCU
RNAcentral lists this ribosomal RNA (1371 nucleotides) under uncultured bacterium. RNAcentral describes it as "bacterial SSU rRNA". It matches the Rfam family "Bacterial small subunit ribosomal RNA", at positions 28 to 1381 of the family's 1533-position model. The record is from RNAcentral.